CGCGUAGGCGGCUUCAUAAGUCGGGGGUGAAAUCCUGUGGCUCAACCACAGGCCUGCCCUCGAAACUAUGAAGCUUGAGUCCGUGAGAGGAAAGCGGAAUUCUUGGUGUAUCGGUGAAAUGAGUUGAUAUCAGGAGGAACACCGGUGGCGAAGGCGGCUUUCUGGUGCGGUACUGACGCUGAGGUGCGAAAGCAGUGGGGAGCAAACG
RNAcentral lists this ribosomal RNA (208 nucleotides) under uncultured bacterium. RNAcentral's name for it is "partial 16S ribosomal RNA". It matches the Rfam family "Bacterial small subunit ribosomal RNA", at positions 568 to 774 of the family's 1533-position model. The record is from RNAcentral.